UGCCUGUAAUCCCAGAGCCGGGUGUGAUAGUACACACCUAUAAUUCCAGUAUUGGGGAGGCUGAGGCAGGAGGAU
This 75-nucleotide microRNA precursor is filed under the name Dipodomys ordii (Ord's kangaroo rat). RNAcentral describes it as "miRNA (ENSDORG00000020538.2)". The record is from RNAcentral. Lineage: Eukaryota; Metazoa; Chordata; Mammalia; Rodentia; Heteromyidae.